UUAUUCCAUUGGCAGACAAAUGCACUAGACUUAGAUUCUAACUAUUCAUCA
RNAcentral lists this transfer RNA (51 nucleotides) under Sicarius gracilis. RNAcentral describes it as "tRNA-Leu". The record is from RNAcentral. Lineage: Eukaryota; Metazoa; Arthropoda; Arachnida; Araneae; Sicariidae.